UGCGUCAAGUUUCGACAAGUUAGUUGGAGGAUAUGAAUGCCGUGUCAUUCGUUUGAAAGGUGUUUGCUCUUUCUAUUGGUACAGGUUUCUAGUCUUUUGGUUGUUGACCAAAGUUGUUACAUGCUAUGCACACACUGGUGAAGUCACGAUGGGCGGGUAGUCAGCAGCUGGUAUCACGAUGACUUUAUAACAAAGAGCAGACCAGGGUGAAGCAGAAGUGACUCAAAACGCAGAGCCUUACAAUUCAUCUCUUAUCAUGAAAGCCUUCUUUGUCUUGCUAUUGGUGGCCCUGAUUGCGCCCCAGUCCCUCUCGUAUACGGGCAGCUGCUACGCCCCGCCCAUCGUCUACGGCUUGGCGUGCUCGGCCAGCGGUAGCGUCAUCGGCAGCAACGGCUUCAGCCUCCAGUACUCCAUCAGUUUGACGGGCGACACGGUGGUAUGCUGUGAGGCGAAGGGCUGCGGCACGGGGUCAAGCUGUGGGAGUUGGGGAUGGUAUGACAUCGGAUGCACUUCCGGCGGGUCGAUGUCUCAGCAAAUGCAAUGGGGGAAUAAUGCCGCGAAGCCAGAAAUCAAGUGCAGAGCACUGGGGCUUGGCUCCACUAUUAAAUGGAGCGCCUAAAAACAGCUCGGUCCAUUGCCUCAUAUGGGGGUGAACAGGGGCAGUUUUCAUAAGUGACGACUUGGGUAUCUGUGGUCUUAUUCUGUGAAUAAAAAUGUGGUGGAUUCA
Long non-coding RNA from Nematostella vectensis (starlet sea anemone), 727 nucleotides. RefSeq lists it as uncharacterized. The record is from RefSeq and is a predicted model, not a curated record. Lineage: Eukaryota; Metazoa; Cnidaria; Anthozoa; Actiniaria; Edwardsiidae. The transcript is spliced from 2 exons.